GGAUGCGAUCAUACCAGCACUAAAGCACCGGAUCCCAUCAGAACUCUGAAGUUAAGCGUGCUUGGGCGAGAGAAGUACUAGGAUGGGUGACCUCCUGGGAAGUCCUCGUGUUGCAUUCC
This 119-nucleotide ribosomal RNA is filed under the name Aegilops tauschii subsp. strangulata. Lineage: Eukaryota; Viridiplantae; Streptophyta; Magnoliopsida; Poales; Poaceae. The record is from RNAcentral.